UCCAUUUAGCUCCUCCAAAUUAACACUUUGUUUGGAUAGGUGGAAAAGAGAAAGAAAAGAUAAUAUCCUAGGGUAUUGAGAUACCUACUUUUUCUUAGAUGAUAAGUAAAAUUGUACAGAAUCAGUAUCUUUGCACACAACAGGUAAUUUUAUUGUUCCCACUACAAGGCUUUUUACCCUUCUAGUAUAUCAUCUUGAACACAGAUCUUUAAGUCGGCCAUGGCAUCUAGCUUCAUCCAAGACAACUGUGUGCACCACAACCAGCAUUACAAACCUCUAAAGCACCACUAGAAUGGAUCUGCAAUUUUAAUGCCGGCCAUCCUGUCCCAUUCUUCUGGAGGAANGACAACAUCUGCCAUUAUCUUUUCCUGACCACGCCAAAGAAUUUUGUCAAUUACCCCGAAAUCUUUAGCUCUUCUAGAAUCCAUAUAGAAUGGUCUUUUCAUUACAUUAGCUACUGUCUCUACAGAAUUUUCAGUGUGCUUGGCCAGAAGUUCAAUAAGGGUAUCCCUGUUAGUUAUUGCCUCUUUUGCACGGAUAAGAACAUCACUUGCAGGCAUCAGACCUGAAGAUGGAACUUUAGGCUGUUGGAUCAUGGCUUUUGCAUGUGGCAUCAUAAACCGUUUGCCUUUUGUUCCUGCUGCAAGUAGUAGACAAGCCUGGCCAAUAGCAGCUCCAACAGCAACUGUAUGUAUCUCAUUUUUUAACUGCAUCAUUGAAUCAUAAAUAGCAAAACCCUCUGUUUCCAUUCCCACUGUUUCACCAUCAUCACGUGUCGUUCCUGUGGAAUUUAUGUACAUAUAAAUUGGUUGUUUGGGAUCCAUCCACUGCAAGUACAUCAAUUCAGCAACAACGAGCUCUGUGACAGCAGGCACCAGAGGCAUGCCAAUAUAAACUAUUCUCCCAUGGAGAAGUAAUGAAGGCAAGUCCGGUGGUGGCUUCCUCGGCCGGUGCUCAUUGUACGACACUGAUCGUUCCACUUGAGCGGGGGUGGCCAUGAGCUGGGGAGAGUCGAAGAGGUCAAGAUACGGCGGCGUAUUAGAACUCACAGGUCGCUCAAGAAGCUUUUCAGGUGAAUUGGCA
RNAcentral lists this unclassified non-coding RNA (1083 nucleotides) under Hevea brasiliensis (rubber tree). The record is from RNAcentral. Lineage: Eukaryota; Viridiplantae; Streptophyta; Magnoliopsida; Malpighiales; Euphorbiaceae.